GGGGCAAAAACUCAGUGAUAGAGUGCUUCGUUUGCAUUAAAGAGUCCUUAAGCACAGACGCGUGCGGUUAGCCGCCCACUAACCACACGUUCACGUCUUCUGGUUCGAUUCGAAGAAGUCGUGAGUUCAAUCCUCACUUGCUCCG
Knufia fluminis is the source of this 145-nucleotide non-coding RNA. Lineage: Eukaryota; Fungi; Ascomycota; Eurotiomycetes; Chaetothyriales; Trichomeriaceae. The record is from the annotation of a GenBank genome assembly.